UUGACCUCGGAUCAGGUAGGGUUACCCGCUGAACUUAAGCAUAUCAAUAAGCGGAGGAAAAGAAACCAACAGGGAUUGCCUCAGUAACGGCGAGUGAAGCGGCAAGAGCUCAAAUUUGAAAUCUGGCUCCUUCGGGGCCCGAGUUGUAAUUUGGAGAGG
This 159-nucleotide ribosomal RNA is filed under the name Talaromyces rugulosus. RNAcentral's name for it is "partial 28S ribosomal RNA". It matches the Rfam family "Eukaryotic large subunit ribosomal RNA", at positions 1 to 158 of the family's 3401-position model. Lineage: Eukaryota; Fungi; Ascomycota; Eurotiomycetes; Eurotiales; Trichocomaceae. The record is from RNAcentral.